UACCAAGAGCUUAUACGCAGGCAGUGUUUAGCACGGUGCCCGCCACAUGGUGAGUGCUCACGGAGUCCGAGCCACUGUUGGCCCUCCUCCCCGGUAAAAGGCUAAGUAUUCACUCAUUCAUUCAGUUUAUUGAGUGCCUGUAUGUGCUGGGCACUGGGGGCUCAGGGUCUCCUGACACCCAGCCUCCAGCCUCCGGGGGUUCACAGAGUGGAGGCUGUUCAGACCUUACCCUCGGGACUCCCAGGAUCAGGCAGGGCCGAGUAUGGGGCAUCCCCUUUAAAGUCCACCGGUUUACUUCCCACCGCUUUCCCUGGUUGCAGUUUGUUGUUUUCAUUCUGCUAGGGGCUGACCUCAGCAUGGUUUAAUGGCCUCGCCUCCUGUGGCCCCUCUCAACUGACACCUGGAAUGCCACUCUGCGCCGCCUGGGCCUCGCUGUCGCUGCUAAUGAGGUUUCCUAACAAAGCCCUGCCUUGCUGGAGUCUGCUCAGAGGGACUUCUGGACUGCAGCCUGGGGACCCGGGCUCUGUGGGAGGAAGGGGAUGUGGCGAGGGGGGAGGGCCGAGGGAACACACAUUUCUUUCAGAGAAGGCCGAGGACCGGGUGGGGGAGGGAAGGCCCGCAGCUCCUCUAGGCCUGUGGCCACUGGCCGGUCACUGGGGCACUGAUGCUAAACCCCAGGCUCUGGGGCCGUCUCUGUAGUCAACCAGAGCAAGGGCUGAAGGGGACAGGACCAGGGGUAGGGCCUGGGCCUCCGGGGCCACACCUAGCACAGUGCCCUGCACAAGGGGGCCCUGGCUCAGUGUGUGCUGGUGGCCUCUCUCUAGUCUGCAAGAUGGCCUUGUGUGUGCCCAGCCGUUGUCCCCUCUGUCCCCUCCCAUCUGCCCCGGGGAAGCUUCAUGUGCCACCGCUGCCAGUCUUGGCUGCCCCUGGGAAGAUUCUAGCGUGAGGCCAAACUUGAAGGAAGAAGAGGUAGCUCCACAAUGAGCCCUCAAGACCAAAGAGGACUCACCCAGAGAAGAGAAGGCGGUGAGAUGGUCCAGGAAUAGAUGCGUUUCAAGGCUGCAGAGGAUCUUCAGACCUGGGAGAGGGAACACUGCUCUCGGGCUCCGCGGAGCCUCUGAUCAAGAGAAGUAUGUAGAAAACACAUCACAGGACAUCCACAAUCAGUCGACAAAUAUCUAUCAAACACCUACUCCCUGUAAAUGACUGCCAAAAGGCUGCUCUUGGUCAGAACUCAACUCCAAGUUCAAGGAAGGGCAGCCACCGCAGGGUACUUAUUGCUGCUGUGUAUCUGGUGCUGUGCCAAGGGCAGCAUCUCAUUCAGCUUUCCCAAAAACCUGGGAGGAGGGAGAUGUUGCUGUCAUCACCCGUCAUUACAGAUGAAACAACUGAGGACCAGAGAGGGCAAGUAAUUGGCUCAAGGACACACAGCUGGUAAGCAAUAGUGCUAGAGUCACAACUCCAAGCCUGGCCCUGAGCGUUGUGCUAGACCAUCAGUCUGCCUGUUGGGAGGAGGAGAUUCAGAGGCCUGGGAGGAAGUUGACGAAGCAUAGGACAGGUUGGAGGUGAGUGGACAAUGUACAUUGGCAGAGCAGCUGGAGCAGAGGGAUCGCCAAAGUGGGGACACCAGAUUUCCAGGAAGUGAGUACAUGGGCCUGUGGCAUAAACGGAAAGAUGGAUUGAGAAGGGCCUGAAGUGCCAGGCUGAAGAGUUGGCCUCUAUCCCGUAGGUAAUGGGGAGUUAUGGAGGGCUCUUGAGUAGUUUGAAUUAUGGGAGUAGUAUUUGAGGAUAGCGAGGCCGGCCAGGUGCAGACCUGUAUGGGACGGACGGAACUGCAUUCGAGGGAGCUGUGACAUGUCCCUGGAGCUAUAUACAGCCCCUCUCCCUGGCCAGUUCAGGGCAGGACCAUCCUGCUGAGAUCAAAACCGUGUCUGUCAGACCGCCAUGUCCAGGAAACUUCAGAUGAGGGCUGAGAGCAAGUGUGCAGCAUUCCCAGAACUAUUUGUCAGAUCUGAGGACCACCUAGACUUAUUAUUCAUUUAAUAGCUUCCUUAAAUCAACUCUCUCACUCUCUUUUGCUUUACUCAAGGCUACUUGAACUGAAAACUCUGUAUCAUGGGAUUGACAUUCUACCUCUCCCUCCAAUCACAUUGAAAUAAAUACAUUUAAAAAUAAAUAUGUAACUAUUAAAAUGAAAAAUGUUUAUCCAAGUUCCGUCUAAAGUCACCCCAGGGACCUCUGCACUUAGGAAAUAUCGCCUUGGUGACCCUCCCCUCGCUCCUUCCCCGGUUGAAAUGACCUCACUCAAAGAUUUCACAUUUGGAAAAAGCAAGUCAGAAAUCAUUCAGAGCCAGGGGAGGGGAGGAGGUUGGGCACCAGGGGGCCUCUGCACACCAGUCCCAGUGGGGCGUGAGAUGGAGGGGCUGGGGCAGCUGAGGGAGCUGCCUGGGGAGUGAAUGAGGCCUUGUUUCCCGCAGUGGCAGUUAGGCGGUGUGCAGAGACCGGGCCGCAAAUGUAAAGUUUCCAAUAACUUUUGUGGAUGGUUUUCCAAUAAACAUGUAUGCCGUCUGUCUGGACCAGUAGAUGUUCAGUCCCAGGUGCCUGGCGACGGGGCUGGAUGGGGGGCUGCUCUCUGCAACGUCAGGCCUCUGAAUCCCUCCCACCGUGUCCCCCCUCCCCAACCCCGACUUGUCCCCUUGUUCUUUCUUUUCGCUGAGAUUAGAAUAGCUUGCAUUUGCUGAGAGCUGAGUGUGAAUUCUCUUCACAUUUUAUCUUAAUCCCCACAAUCGCUUUAUAAGGUAGGUGUUAGCAUCGUACCACUUUCGUAGGUCAGGAAACAUGGCAGCACAUCAGCCCAGGAGCCCUUUGGACCCAGGUCCGUGUGACCCCAAAGCCGUGGUCUCAGCCACCUGCACCCUAUUUCCACUGCAUCGCUCUUCCUCAGCCUCAUCAGCGCACCGCCCUCCCUCUCCUCCUCUGCGUCUCUGGUCAGAGCCAGUCUCAGCCAGAAACAGCACGAGAGAAGCUCCUCUCACAACUGACACCACUCAUGAAUAUAGAGGGCUGGUCUGCAGAUGCUCAAUGGGCUUGUUGGGUCUAUCCAAAGACAGAACAUUAUAGGAGAAGAAACUCUCAAGAAAUUAUAAGCUCCCUGAGGGCAGAGACCACAGACUGGGAAAGUCCUUCUCCUUCCAAGAUGGAGCUUAAGACAGGCAGGGCCAGCAGAUGAGGGGGGCAGCGCUCAGGCUCCCUGCAUGCCAUGUCCACACCUUAAUGCUCUGAUCCAGCAUCUGACAGCGUUGCUGGGCUCCUGGGCUUGGAGCACCAUGUUUCUUUUACUUUAACACAAGCAAGAGAGAGAGAAGACAAAAAGAUAGGCAGCUAGGGGAUCUCAAUAGCUGCCCAGCCCAAGCACCAGCAGCCAUUGGAUGGGGAAGACCGACCAGGAGUGAAGCCUGAGAGUGGGUCUGGUUGCUCCCCUCGCCUCAGCUUGCUUCCUCUUUCAGAGGAAAGAAGUGCGGCCCUAGACUCUGAAGGGUGUCAUCGUCACCGAAGGACAGAGGGCGCCUGUUCCAGCAGCCCCUUUGGGGCUGGCAUUCCUCUUCAAGCCCCAGCACCUAUGGUCAUUUUUCUUUCUGAUUUAUGUUUCCUGUGGAAAGUCUGAAGAAAAACCGUGGAGCAUCUUUUGAGUUUGCCUUUGGAAGGGAGAAAAUAUGCUCCUUCUCUGCUGGGCAAACAUCACAAACAUUGGUGCUUUCACAAUUCAAACACAAGCUGGUUUUCAAAGCCUCCCCGCCUGGCGGCCCGUGGAGCUGUCGCUGUCAGAGGGAGGACGGGCUGCAGCCACCUGGGUUGGGGAGGUUUGCUUUGGGAGCGGAGCUUGGAAUUUGUGAAUUUUCUACUCCAAGCACAUCCAAACGGUGCAGCCACAGUCCCCUUCUGCACAACCUCGUUCAGGCAACCGGGGCUCCAUCUGCCUGGGCUGGGGUGGAGAGCCAAGGGCCUCGGAUGACUCCCUGCCCCACCACCCCCCCAAGCCUGUGGCGGGGCAGGGGGAGGCUUAGCGGGAGGACAAAGAUGAACAAAGAUGCCCUCAGGGACUCUGGUCCUGCUCUCAGGAUGAUGCUGAGCACAGAGGGUGGAGGUGAGAGUGAAGGGGACACGCUUCUGCAUCCACACAUUUUUCACCCUCCCAAACAUGAAUCAGGGCAGAAGUUGUUCCUAUAAAGAGGAAUUGUGAGAGGCAGCUGCAGACUGUGGGCUGUCUGGCUCUUUCCAUUAGUCUGUAACAAGGGUCUCCUUCCUUCCUCCAACCCUUCCUCCCUCUUUCCUCCCCCUCCUCCUUCCUUCUUUUCCUUCCUUCCUUCCUUCCUUCCUUCCUUCCUUCCUUCCUUCCCAAGAGAAUAAUAUAAUAACUGCCAAGUACCCAUCAAUAGCUUUAACAAUUAUCAACUCAUGGCUAAUCUUAUUUCAUCUGUAACUACACCUACCCCAGCCACUCCCUGAACUCCCACUGGAAUGUUCUGAAGCAGAUUCCAGGUAUCACUUUAUCCAUAGAUAUCUGGACUUUUUUUUUUUUUUUUUUAAGUAUUGAACUCUUAGGAACACCAAGGACCCACCCUCCUCUCCCACCACUUAGAAAAAUGCUCCCCCCAGGCUUACCUAUAAAUAUUGCAAAUCACUGCAGGGGUCCAGGGAACCUCUGAGGCACAUCUGAAGACCUUAAAUUGAAAACCUCAGGUAUAUGGGAUAAUUUCUACCUCCAAAGGAGAACCUUCUUUUUGAUAGCUUGGAACUAUUAGCUGGUCCAUCAAAGGAGAUUUGCUCUCUUAUGUUAUUUGCAAUAUUUACUGAGUGCAUGGACCAGAGCCGGGUUAGAAAAGGGGCCCAAAGCAGGGCAGCUGCCAGUGAGGCGCGUAGGGUCUGGUUGGGGAGGAGCUCUUGGGCUGAGAGAGCAGGAGCUGAGGGGGCACUCGGAGGGAGGGAGGGAGGGAGGGUGAGAGGGUGAGAGGGAGGAAGGUUCUGCAUAAUCUCUCCUGGGGAUUUGUUUAUUGGCCUGCAUUAGUUUAGUCUUUUAGUGGCUGUUAAUGUGUUUGUCUAGGGUCUGUUGUAAUGUCUCUAAGAUAAAGACCAGCUCAAUUUACACUCCACCAGCAAUUGCUGGGUUUGAGGCUCGAGGAGCCUGUGGGGGAAGUCACUCAGUGAUCAAAGCCCUACUUCAAGGUGUCCCCAAGCUCCUAAACUUGGAAGGGAAGCCCCGUUUCCCCGAGAACAUCGGCAGAGUGCACAGAAAAACAGGGGGUUCCCUCCGGGCCAGACAAAUAGAUUUUUAAAAUGAGGAAUAGAACUUCUUUGUUCUUUUUGUUUUUCUUUAGAGAGGAAGUGUGGGAGCAAAACCAUUUUAGAUGUGGGGAGGCUGUGGAGAAAGCCUAGAAGUUUUCUGAUGUUAUCCAAUCCUUUGCUAUUCCUCCACCCCUACCCCAUCCCAGUCCAGUGUCCACAAGCCCAGGGACCUAUAGUCAAGUCCAAGUGGCACAGAAGGAAAAAGAGAGGGCCUGGUGCUGGCGCACGGGUACCUAGGCCAAUGAGGCACCAGAGGAAGAGCUGGGACAGGCACAAACAAACCUUGGAAUUUAUUACAUAGAGAGGUGGCAUUUCACCCAGUGAGGAGAGAAAGACUUCUCAAUAAAUAUCCUGAGGAGACAUUGGGGGAAAAAAUAGAGUCAGAUUCAUACUUCACACCUUUAAAGGAACUGAGUUGCCUGUAGAUAUAAAGCUUAAAUGUAAAAAUCAAGGGUACCUGGGUGACUCAGUCAGUUGAAUGACUGACUCUUGAUUUCGAUUCAGGUCAUGAUCUCAGGGUUAUGAGAUCGAGCCCCUCAAGCCCCGCACCAGGCU
Molecule: long non-coding RNA, 5898 nt
Organism: Felis catus (domestic cat)
Lineage: Eukaryota; Metazoa; Chordata; Mammalia; Carnivora; Felidae
Exons: 3
Source: RefSeq, a predicted model, not a curated record